Long non-coding RNA from Acanthochromis polyacanthus (spiny chromis), 971 nucleotides. RefSeq lists it as uncharacterized. Lineage: Eukaryota; Metazoa; Chordata; Actinopteri; Pomacentridae. The record is from RefSeq and is a predicted model, not a curated record. The transcript has 3 exons.
AUUACAUAUUUGGUUCCCACGGUGACCACCGGAUAUGGCGUGGCCGCACAACGUCCGGGCCUCUGCAGACUUGGGGUGUGUUCCCCCACAUUGCGGUCUCAGUCUGCUGUGUCCGGUUGCCGUGGAUGGUUGGAUCAACAUCUGGGUAAAAGAACAGCCAUGAUGGGAUAUUUGGCCAACAAACUGGAGAGCACACCUGAAGGUUACCUUUGUCUUCCACCCUCUUCAUCUUUAUCCGUCUGUCUGUCAUCACAGUUAGCCGGCUACCGGGAAGGGCUGACCGGAAGUGAGAAGACAAAAUGUGGAACUACAAAGAAGUAAAAGUGGGCGAAAUAAGGUGAAGAGUCUGGAUCCAUGGAUUUGUUAAAGAUUUCUGUAUCAUUGCAAGAUAGUGCCAUGGCGUCACUGUAUCUAUGACAAGUGAGCACGAUUGUGACCCUGCUAAAAAUCCACCGCUAUGGAGUUAUCAGGACUUAUCCAUCAGAAAUGAUACAAGGAACAAUUGAUUAAAUUGUGGGGGUGUUUUUGAGUCCCAUCGAUUCCCGCCACAUAUUUAGGUCAUGCAAUUCGGUAUCCAUACAUAACGUACACAUGCAUAACACAGGCUGUGCUCAGUGCAAGGUUUUCAAUUUUUUAUUAAAGAUUUCACCUGUCGGAAAUGACACGACUCAGCAGCCUUGGUGGAGUACUGCACUCUCUGAAUGCUUUUCUUUUUAGAAAUGCAGCAUUUGUUUAUUAGUUAUUGAUGAUCAGAAAUCACAGCUACAUAAAUGUGGCCAUUUAACAUAGAAGCACCCACAAACAAGAUAAAUGUUUUGCAUUUAACCUUUUCUAUCUACAAUCAAUGUAUGAAAGAAAAAAAAACUGAAAUGGACAAAGUUAUUAUUUAUAAAUCUUGUAUACAUUCUUAAACUGUGUUUUUCAUGUUUUAUUUUUGUGAUACGCAACAUUGUCAUUAGCAAUAGGGGAUC